RNAcentral lists this ribosomal RNA (305 nucleotides) under uncultured bacterium. Its description in RNAcentral is "bacterial SSU rRNA". It matches the Rfam family "Bacterial small subunit ribosomal RNA", at positions 337 to 634 of the family's 1533-position model. The record is from RNAcentral.
CCCUACGGGGCGCAGCAGUAGGGAAUCUUCCACAAUGGGCGAAAGCCUGAUGGAGCAACGCCGCGUGGGUGAAGAAGGUCUUCGGAUCGUAAAACCCUGUUGUCAGAGAAGAAAGUGCGUGAGAGUAACUGUUCACGUUUCGACGGUAUCUAACCAGAAAGCCACGGCUAACUACGUGCCAGCAGCCGCGGUAAUACGUAGGUGGCAAGCGUUAUCCGGAUUUAUUGGGCGUAAAGGGGACGCAGGCGGUCUUUUAAGUCUGAUGGGAAAGCCUUCGGCUUAACCGGAGGAGUGCAUUGGAAACU